This 501-nucleotide ribosomal RNA is filed under the name uncultured bacterium. RNAcentral's name for it is "partial 16S ribosomal RNA". It matches the Rfam family "Bacterial small subunit ribosomal RNA", at positions 29 to 523 of the family's 1533-position model. The record is from RNAcentral.
AUUGAACGCUGGCGGCAUGCCUUACACAUGCAAGUCGAACGGCAGCACGGGUGCUUGCACCUGGUGGCGAGUGGCGAACGGGUGAGUAAUACAUCGGAACGUACCUUAUCGUGGGGGAUAACGCAGCGAAAGCUGUGCUAAUACCGCAUACGCCCUGAGGGGGAAAGCGGGGGAUCGAAAGACCUCGCGCGAUUAGAGCGGCCGAUGCCUGAUUAGCUUGUUGGUGGGGUAAAAGCCCACCAAGGCGACGAUCAGUAGCUGGUCUGAGAGGACGAUCAGCCACACUGGGACGGAGACACGGCCCAGACUCCUACGGGAGGCAGCAGUGGGGAAUUUUGGACGAUGGGGGCAACCCUGAUCCAGCAAUGCCGCGUGAGUGAAGAAGGCCUUCGGGUUGUAAAACUCUUUUGUCAGGGAAGAAACACCGGCUCUAACACAGUCCGGGAAUGACGGUACCUGAAGAAUAAGUACCGGCUAACUACGUGCCAGCCGCCGCCGUAA